RNAcentral lists this ribosomal RNA (393 nucleotides) under uncultured bacterium. RNAcentral describes it as "bacterial SSU rRNA". It matches the Rfam family "Bacterial small subunit ribosomal RNA", at positions 28 to 421 of the family's 1533-position model. The record is from RNAcentral.
GACGAACGCUGGCGGCGUGCUUAACACAUGCAAGUCGAGCGGUAAGGCCCUUUCGGGGGUACGACGAGCGGCGAACGGGUGAGUAACACGUGGGUGACCUGCCCUCAGCUCUGGGAUAAGCCUGGGAAACCGGGUACUAAUACCGGAUAUGACUCCAUGACGCAUGUUGUGGGGUGGAAAGCCUUGUGCGGCUGAGGAUGGGCCCGCGGCCUAUCAGCUUGUUGGUGGGGUGAUGGCCUACCAAGGCGACGACGGUAGCCGGCCUGAGAGGGCGACCGGCCACACUGGGACUGAGACACGGCCCAGACUCCUACGGGAGGCAGCAGUGGGGAAUCUUGCGCAAUGGGCGAAAGCCUGACGCAGCGACGCCGCGUGAGGGAUGACGGCCUGUGU